RNAcentral lists this ribosomal RNA (521 nucleotides) under uncultured bacterium. RNAcentral's name for it is "bacterial SSU rRNA". It matches the Rfam family "Bacterial small subunit ribosomal RNA", at positions 21 to 518 of the family's 1533-position model. The record is from RNAcentral.
GGCUCAGGACGAACGCUGGCGGCGUGCCAAUACAUGCAAGUCAACGGCUUUCUAUGGAAGCUUGCUUCCACUGAGAAGAUAGUGGCAACGGGUGAGUAACACGUGGGUAACCUGCCCAUAAGAGGGGGGAUAACAUCCGGAAACGGGUGCUAAUACCGCAUAGUUUCUUGAUCGCAUGAUUGAGAAAGGAAAGACGGCCUUUGUGCUGUCGCUUAUGGAUGGACCCGCGGCGUAUUAGUUAGUUGGUGAGGUAACGGCUCACCAAGACGAUGAUACGUAGCCGACCUGAGAGGGUGAUCGGCCACAUUGGGACUGAGACACGGCCCAAACUCCUACGGGAGGCAGCAGUAGGGAAUCUUCCGCAAUGGACGAAAGUCUGACGGAGCAACGCCGCGUGAGUGAAGAAAAGGUUUUCGGAUCGUAAAACUCUGUUGUCAGAGAAGAACAAGUUGGAGAGUAACUGCUCCAGCCUUGACGGUAUCUGACCAGAAAGCCACGGCUAACUACGUGCCAGCCGCUGC